UACGAAAGGGGCUAGCGUUGUUCGGAAUUACUGGGCGUAAAGCGCACUUAGGCGGCCUUGUAAGAUGGGGGUGAAAUCCCUGGGCUCAACCCAGGAACUGCCUUCAUGACUGCAAAGCUCGAGGAUGUGAGAGGUUGGCGGAAUUCCGAGUGUAGAGGUGAAAUUCGUAGAUAUUCGGAAGAACACCGGUGGUGAAUGCGGUCAACUGGCACAUUUCUGACGAUGAGGUGCGAAAGCGUGGGGAGCAAACAGG
RNAcentral lists this ribosomal RNA (253 nucleotides) under uncultured bacterium. RNAcentral describes it as "partial 16S ribosomal RNA". It matches the Rfam family "Bacterial small subunit ribosomal RNA", at positions 524 to 776 of the family's 1533-position model. The record is from RNAcentral.